AGUGAACGCUGGCGGUAGGCCUAACACAUGCAAGUCGAACGGCAGCACAGUAAGAGCUUGCUCUUACGGGUGGCGAGUGGCGGACGGGUGAGGAAUACAUCGGAAUCUACUUUUUCGUGGGGGAUAACGUAGGGAAACUUACGCUAAUACCGCAUACGACCUACGGGUGAAAGCAGGGGAUCUUCGGACCUUGCGCGAUUGAAUGAGCCGAUGUCGGAUUAGCUAGUUGGCGGGGUAAAGGCCCACCAAGGCGACGAUCCGUAGCUGGUCUGAGAGGAUGAGCAGCCAAACGGGAGUUGAGACACGGUCCGGACCCCAAGGGGGGGCAGCAGUGGGAAAUGUGGACAAUGGGCGCAAGCCUGAUCCAGCCAUACCGCGUGGGUGAAGAAGGCCUUCGGGUUGUAAAGCCCUUUUGUUGGGAAAGAGAAGCAGCAGGUUAAUACCCCGCUGUUCUGACGGUACCCAAAGAAUAAGCACCGGCUAACUUCGUG
Molecule: ribosomal RNA, 491 nt
Filed under: uncultured bacterium
Lineage: Bacteria
Description: partial 16S ribosomal RNA
Rfam family: Bacterial small subunit ribosomal RNA
Source: RNAcentral